UACGUAGGGGGCAAGCGUUGUCCGGAAUUAUUGGGCGUAAAGAGCGUGUAGGCGGCCUGAAAGGUCAGCUGUGAAAACUCGAGGCUCAACCUCGAGACGUCGGUUGAAACCAUCUGGCUAGAGUCCGGAAGAGGAGUGUGGAAUUCCCGGUGUAGCGGUGAAAUGCGCAGAUAUCGGGAAGAACACCCGUGGCGAAGGCGGCACUCUGGGACGGUACUGACGCUGAGACGCGAAAGCGUGGGGAGCGAACAGG
RNAcentral lists this ribosomal RNA (253 nucleotides) under uncultured bacterium. Its description in RNAcentral is "partial 16S ribosomal RNA". It matches the Rfam family "Bacterial small subunit ribosomal RNA", at positions 524 to 776 of the family's 1533-position model. The record is from RNAcentral.